GAAGGGUGCAAGCGUUACUCGGAAUUACUGGGCGUAAAGCGUGCGUAGGUGGUUGUUUAAGUCUGUUGUGAAAGCCCUGGGCUCAACCUGGGAAUUGCAGUGGAUACUGGACGACUAGAGUGUGGUAGAGGGUAGUGGAAUUCCUGGUGUAGCAGUGAAAUGCGUAGAGAUCAGGAGGAACAUCCAUGGCGAAGGCAGCUACCUGGACCAACACUGACACUGAGGCACGAAAGCGUGGGGAGCAAACAGGAUUAGAUACCCUGGUAGUCCACGCCCUAAACGAUGCGAACUGGAUGUUGGGUGCAAUUUGGCACGCAGUAUCGAAGCUAACGCGUUAAGUUCGCCGCCUGGGGAGUACGGUCGCAAGACUGAA
RNAcentral lists this ribosomal RNA (373 nucleotides) under uncultured bacterium. Its description in RNAcentral is "bacterial SSU rRNA". It matches the Rfam family "Bacterial small subunit ribosomal RNA", at positions 527 to 898 of the family's 1533-position model. The record is from RNAcentral.